This is a non-coding RNA of Lepisosteus oculatus (spotted gar), 824 nucleotides long. NCBI's taxonomy places the organism in Eukaryota, Metazoa, Chordata, Actinopteri, Semionotiformes, Lepisosteidae. The record is from RefSeq and is a predicted model, not a curated record.
UGCGCACUGGGAGUCUGACUGACAGCACUGUCACACCUGGAACGGAUCAGACUGCUGCGCACUGGGAGUCUGGUUGGUGCAGUCAAGUCUGACCGGGCUGUGACCUGCAGUCAGGAAGGAUCGUUCACUGUCCUUCUGUUUUGUUUUUCAGGGUUUUGCAGGACAAGGCUGAUGUUGAUGAGCUGGAGGAGAUCCUGAAGCGGCUGGCCGAGGGGCAGUGAAGGGGGCCAAGGGAGAGGAGGAGGAAGGUGACGCCUGGCGAGACUCCAGCAGCUUGUGGGGGAGACCGGAGAGGAAUCACAGGAGCAGAACGCCCCCUGCUGGUGAUGCCGAGCGGGUGCACACCUGCCCUGACCAGCUCUCCUGUCUCCCAGGACACAGGAGAUAAACUGCAGAUAAACUGUGCGGAGACCUUACACAUAAUCGCUCCUGCUCAUUCGGGGUUCUGCGGGAUGGGGUGACCCCCUGACCCAGUGACAUCAGACAGGCCCCGGACCAGAGAGGUCUUCCGGCACAUCUGGCCCAGGAUGGAAGUCAGUAGCUCAUUGAUCCCAGGAUCUCUACCGAGCGUUUCCUGACAAGCUUCAGCAGUGCGGCUGGUUCCACACUCCCACCACCCUCUGCGUAAAGAAGGGUCUCCUGUCAGAGGGGGGUGGGGGAGAUCAGGAUGAUCUUCUCGCUGUGACCUGACCUGACCCCCCUGUGUUGUCUGGGUUCUCGAUUUAUCAGUUUGGUUUGGGUUCUUUCUGAAGGUGUGUGUGAGGGCUCGGAGUUUGGGAUUGGAGAUCUGUCGUUCUUUAAUAAAAUAAACCAAUCUGCUGUCC